This 1382-nucleotide ribosomal RNA is filed under the name Dokdonia genika. RNAcentral describes it as "bacterial SSU rRNA". It matches the Rfam family "Bacterial small subunit ribosomal RNA". Lineage: Bacteria; Pseudomonadati; Bacteroidota; Flavobacteriia; Flavobacteriales; Flavobacteriaceae. The record is from RNAcentral.
CGAGGGGUAACAGGAGUAGCUUGCUAUUUGCUGACGACCGGCGCACGGGUGCGUAACGCGUAUAGAAUCUACCUUAUACUGGGGGAUAGCCUUUGGAAACGAAGAUUAAUACCCCAUAGUAUUAUUUUUUGGCAUCAUUAAAUAAUUAAAGUUUCGGCGGUAUAAGAUGACUAUGCGUUCUAUUAGUUAGUUGGUAAGGUAACGGCUUACCAAGACUUCGAUAGAUAGGGGUCCUGAGAGGGAGAUCCCCCACACUGGUACUGAGACACGGACCAGACUCCUACGGGAGGCAGCAGUGAGGAAUAUUGGACAAUGGAGGCAACUCUGAUCCAGCCAUGCCGCGUGUAGGAAGACUGCCCUAUGGGUUGUAAACUACUUUUAUAUGGGAAGAAUAAGAUCUACGUGUAGAUUGAUGACGGUACCAUAAGAAUAAGCACCGGCUAACUCCGUGCCAGCAGCCGCGGUAAUACGGAGGGUGCAAGCGUUAUCCGGAAUCAUUGGGUUUAAAGGGUCCGUAGGCGGGCAUAUAAGUCAGUGGUGAAAGUCUGUGGCUNAACCAUAGAANUGCCAUUGAUACUGUAUGUCUUGAAUUAUUGUGAAGUGGUUAGAAUAUGUAGUGUAGCGGUGAAAUGCUUAGAGAUUACAUAGAAUACCGAUUGCGAAGGCAGAUCACUAACAAUAUAUUGACGCUGAUGGACGAAAGCGUAGGUAGCGAACAGGAUUAGAUACCCUGGUAGUCUACGCCGUAAACGAUGGAUACUAGUUGUUUGGUUUUCGGACUGAGUGACUAAGCGAAAGUGAUAAGUAUCCCACCUGGGGAGUACGUUCGCAAGAAUGAAACUCAAAGGAAUUGACGGGGGCCCGCACNAGCGGUGGAGCAUGUGGUUUAAUUCGAUGAUACGCGAGGAACCUUACCAGGGCUUAAAUGUAGUCUGACAGCUUUAGAGAUAGAGUUUUCUUCGGACAGAUUACAAGGUGCUGCAUGGUUGUCGUCAGCUCGUGCCGUGAGGUGUCAGGUUAAGUCCUAUAACGAGCGCAACCCCUGUGGUUAGUUGCCAGCGAGUAAUGUCGGGAACUCUAGCCAGACUGCCGGUGCAAACCGUGAGGAAGGUGGGGAUGACGUCAAAUCAUCACGGCCCUUACGUCCUGGGCCACACACGUGCUACAAUGGUAGGGACAGAGAGCAGCCACUUAGCGAUAAGGAGCGAAUCUAUAAACCCUAUCUCAGUUCGGAUUGGAGUCUGCAACUCGACUCCAUGAAGCUGGAAUCGCUAGUAAUCGGAUAUCAGCCAUGAUCCGGUGAAUACGUUCCCGGGCCUUGUACACACCGCCCGUCAAGCCAUGGAAGCUGGGGGUACCUGAAGUCCGUCACCGUAAGGAGC